GCCCCUCACUUACACUGAGAAGAUGUCUGUUAAACCCGGAUCAUAUUGAG
Molecule: transfer RNA, 50 nt
Filed under: Sumaterana crassiovis
Lineage: Eukaryota; Metazoa; Chordata; Amphibia; Anura; Ranidae
Description: partial tRNA-Val
Source: RNAcentral